AGCUACCGCAGCAGAGCCCCAGCGAGCGGGCGGCGGCGCCAUGGCGUGCGCGGGGCUGCUCACCGUGUGCCUGCUCCGGCCGCCCGCGCCCCAGCCCCAGCCCCAGACCCCGCGGCACCCCCAGCUCGCGCCGGACCCGGGGCCCGCCGGACACACGCUCUUCCAGGACGUUUUCCACAGAGCAGACAAGAAUGGUGAGUGUAGCUUCCCCUGGGUCCCACGGUGGGGCAGAGUGGGAGGCAUCCAGGAGACCCAGGGAGAGUUGGGAGGUUGGGUGGGAAGUCAAGAGUUGAGACAAAUCUUAGGGGCCCAAAACAGGAGAAUCAAUCAAGGCACUUCCUAGAGGAAGUGCUGUUCUCAGCCAAGUUUGGCAGGAUGGAGAGUGGAGAGAAUGUGGUUUGGCCACGGACUGGAGAUAGGGGCUGAUUUUCACACAGCAUCCUGGCAUGGUGAUGGGCACUUCCUGUACGUGGCCCUCUGUUGUCCUCACAGCCACCAGCUAGAUUGGAAUUCACCCUAUUUCAUAAAGGAGCAGAGGCCCAGAGAGGUGAAGCAAGU
RNAcentral lists this small RNA (558 nucleotides) under Pongo abelii (Sumatran orangutan). RNAcentral's name for it is "retained intron". Lineage: Eukaryota; Metazoa; Chordata; Mammalia; Primates; Hominidae. The record is from RNAcentral.